GAAACCAAUGAGGUGGAAAUUAAGGCAUCAGCUGUCCACCUAAAAGUUGAAUAUGCGCAAAACGACGGACUUCUCAUCAGCGCCAACAGCUCACAUUACAUAGGCUGCAACAGCACCCUGGGCGACGACGGCACCCGCGACGGCACCCUGGGCGACGAUGGCAGCAAGGGAACUCUGGCAGACGCCUACGCAGGCAACAGCACCCUGGGCGACGACGGCAACGUGACUUUGGCUGAUGUCUACACGGGCAACAGCACCCUGGGCGACGACGGCAACGUGACUUUGGCUGACGUCUACAAGGUCAACGGCACCCUGGGCGACGACGGCACCCACAACGUAACGUUGGACGACAUCUACACUGACAACGGCACCCUGGCCGACGAUCGCAGCACGGGCAACGGAACUUUGGCAGAUGGCAACGACACCCUGUCCGACGUCUACACCCGCAACGGCACCCUGGGCGACGAUGGCAGCAAUGGUACUUUGGCUGACGUCUACGCGGGCAACGGCACCCUGGGCGACGACGGCAACGAGACUUUGGCUGACGUCUACGCGGGCAACGGCACCCUGGGCGACGACGGCAGCAAUGGAACUUUGGCAGAUGCCGACGCAGGCAACGGCACCCUGAGCGACGACGGCAACGUGACCCUAGCUGACGUCUACACGGGCAACGGAACUUUGGCUGACGGCUACACGGGCAACGGCACCCUGGGCGACGACGGCAGCAAUGGAACUUUGGCUGACGUCUACACUGGCAACGGCACCCUGGGCGACGACGGCAGCAAUGGAACUUUGGCUGACGGCUACACGGGCAACGGCAACCUGGCCGACGUCGACACGGGCAACGGAACUUUGGCAGAUGGCAAUGACACCCUGGGCGACGUCUACACCCGCAACGGCACCCUGGCCGACGAUGGCACCCUGGCCGACAAUGGCAGCAAUGGUACUUUGGCAGAUGGCUACUCAGGCAACGGCACCCUGGGCGACGACGGCAAUGUGACUUUUGCUGACGUCUACACUGGCAACGGCACCCUGGGCGACGACGGCAGCAAUGGAACUUUGGCUGACGGCUACACGGGCAACGGCAACCUGGCCGACGUCGACACGGGCAACGGAACUUUGGCAGAUGGCAAUGACACCCUGGGCGACGUCUACACCCGCAACGGCACCCUGGCCGACGAUGGCACCCUGGCCGACAAUGGCAGCAAUGGUACUUUGGCAGAUGGCUACUCAGGCAACGGCACCCUGGGCGACGACCACAAUGUAACUUUGGCCGACAUCUACACUGGCAAUGGCACCCUGGGCGACGACGGCAACUUAACUCUGACCGACGGCUACACGGGCACCUCGGACCUCGUCGCCUAGAAACAGUUUUUGGGACAGUGCAUUAGUUAAGAUGUUUUUGCUUGUACCUACUUAUCUCUGCUUUCAAUAAAACUAUUGCCUUAACUUGUUGUGUCAAUUCUCUGGGGUUGUGGUCAAAAAUGGAUAUUUAACCAUGAUCCAUAGACACCUGUGAGGCAAGCACUGACUCUAGGGACCUGAAAUUGUAUAAAAGUUGUGUCCCAGGAUGUCUAGACCUAUAGCAGCUCAUCUAAGGGCCUGCCUGAGCCAGCUCUAAAUAGAAGUUAUCAAAGCAGUGUUCACGGUAGUCUUCAAUGAGGGCACUUUGUGGCGCCCACACCAGGUUGAAAGUGGGAGCUGGUUUCAGAGAAUAUGCACUUAAACGCAAAAGCUUCCCAUGCUGCGUUCAGACCUUUAUGGAGUGUUUUGGUCUAGUAGGCUAGUAUGGUACUGAAAGCCCCUUAACAAAAUCGCUUGCCUUGUAGCUAAAGUUGUGUUUAACCCAGAGCCAGUGCAGUCCCUCAAGUC
Molecule: long non-coding RNA, 1872 nt
Organism: Gasterosteus aculeatus aculeatus (three-spined stickleback)
Lineage: Eukaryota; Metazoa; Chordata; Actinopteri; Perciformes; Gasterosteidae
Source: Ensembl